Non-coding RNA from Ciona intestinalis (vase tunicate), 398 nucleotides. Lineage: Eukaryota; Metazoa; Chordata; Ascidiacea; Phlebobranchia; Cionidae. The record is from RefSeq and is a predicted model, not a curated record.
GAUAACAGACGGCAGUGACAAUACAGGAAAGCACAUUUCCUGCCAUAAUAUUAUCUGCGAAUACGUUAUAAAUUUUUGAAAAAUGCUGGGAACGUUUGUAACAAAAAGCGGCGAGUUUUGGUAGGAAUCAUCUCUUCAUUCAGAAGUCAACAAAAUGAAUAAGUCAGCAUUUCUACUCUUGCUUGUCAUCGGACUCCUCGUCCUCACCGAAACGAAGGCGGACUCCGUUCAAGUUCACCCUGGUCCUCCCGCACGUCGACGAUGGACAAGAUGGAACCAAAUGGACACAGAAACCCUUGAAGAUCUGAGUGAAAUUCUUAACUCAGAUGAAGAUUUUGAAUAAACCAACAGAUGUAAUAAAUUCAGUUCGCUGGUUUCAAUAAACUAUGAUCAAUAUA